UCAUUUUUGUGACUCGCAGCU
RNAcentral lists this microRNA (21 nucleotides) under Scyliorhinus torazame (cloudy catshark). RNAcentral's name for it is "Sto-Mir-153-P4_5p* (star (passenger))". The record is from RNAcentral. Lineage: Eukaryota; Metazoa; Chordata; Chondrichthyes; Carcharhiniformes; Scyliorhinidae.